Molecule: non-coding RNA, 92 nt
Filed under: uncultured Blautia sp.
Lineage: Bacteria; Bacillati; Bacillota; Clostridia; Lachnospirales; Lachnospiraceae
Description: TPP riboswitch (THI element)
Rfam family: TPP riboswitch aptamer (THI element)
About the family: Vitamin B(1) in its active form thiamin pyrophosphate (TPP) is an essential coenzyme that is synthesised by coupling of pyrimidine and thiazole moieties in bacteria. The previously detected thiamin-regulatory element, thi box was extended, resulting in a new, highly conserved RNA secondary structure, the THI element, which is widely distributed in eubacteria and also occurs in some archaea. Analysis of operon structures identified a large number of new candidate thiamin-regulated genes, mostly transporters, in various prokaryotic organisms.
Source: RNAcentral
AGUCAGGGGAGUCCGUAGGCGGGCUGAGAGGAAGUUCUCAAACUUCGACCCUUUAAACCUGUAUGGGUAAUGCCAACGUAGGGAGAAAGAAA